CAUGAACAAAGGCGCCUCUUGGGGAACUUGGAAGCAGGAACAGCGGUGCACUGACAAGAUGGGAGAGCUCCUCACCCCGUUUUGGUCUGUUACUCAGACCCCAAGGAGCAGGCAUCCGGCUGCACUUCGUGUUCACACCUUGGCGACCGGAGGGCAGGGCACCUUAGAUUAUGACUACAGAGGAUUCUGAUUCAGGGAGGCAGAUCUCGGUUUUGACACUCUGGAUUCCACUCUUGCGCCAGAGUUUACGUGGUGGUUUGCCCUGCCAGCUCAGUUCUGUGAGGAGUCUAAAAUAUAGGUGGAUUCAGUUUUUCCAGCGUUUUCUUGUUUUAAGGAUGGGAUUGGUGAUCUCUGCCCUCUCUAUAUGUUGGGGCUGAAACCAGAAGCUUUAUUUGUGACCAUUUUUGAAAUAUGCCACAAUCAGUAUAAGCCUAUGAGUUUCAAAUAUCAUGAUUUUCUUUAAUUGAAGUACAGCACAGAAAGUGAAGAGUGCACAAACCAUAAGAGACAACAACUUGAUGACUUUUCACAAAGUGAACACAUACCUGUAACCACCACCAAGACCAAGAUCUGGAACAUUACUGGAGCCUCAGAAACCCACGUUAUGCCCCUGUCUAGGUGUUUCACGUGAAGGCUAACCACUAUUCUGACCUACGUCAGCAUAAGGGUUUCUUGUUUUUGUUUUUGUUGUUUUGCCUCUUCUUAAACUUUAUAUAAAUAGAAUUAUCAGUCACGUAUGUUUUUAUGCCUGGCUUCUUUUGCUCAGUGUUCUGCUAUUGAUAUCUGCCCAUGUUGUUGCACGUAGGGGUAUUUUC
This is a long non-coding RNA of Equus caballus (horse), 815 nucleotides long. The record is from Ensembl. NCBI's taxonomy places the organism in Eukaryota, Metazoa, Chordata, Mammalia, Perissodactyla, Equidae.